AGUGAACGUUGGCGGCGUGGAUUAGGCAUGCAAGUCGAGCGAUCGUAGCAAUACGGGAGCGGCAAACGGGGUAGGAAUACAUCGGAACGUACCUUUUGGUUGAGAAUAGCGUUGGGAAACUGACGGUAAUACUCAAUAAAGUCGAGAGACCAAAGGUUUACUGCCGGAAGAGCGGCCGAUGCGAUAUUAGGUAGUUGGUGGGGUAAUGGCCUACCAAGCCUGAGAUGUCUAGGGGGUGUGAGAGCAUGGCCCCCACCACUGGGACUGAGAUACUGCCCAGACACCUACGGGUGGCUGCAGUCGAGGAUCUUCGUCAAUGGGCGAAAGCCUGAACGAGCGACGCCGCGUGCGGGAUGAAGGCCCUUGGGGUUGUAAACCGCUGUCAGGGGGAUGAAACCGUAAGGUUGACAGAGCCCCAGAGGAAGCACGGGCUAAGUUCGUG
RNAcentral lists this ribosomal RNA (442 nucleotides) under uncultured bacterium. RNAcentral's name for it is "bacterial SSU rRNA". It matches the Rfam family "Bacterial small subunit ribosomal RNA", at positions 29 to 507 of the family's 1533-position model. The record is from RNAcentral.